RNAcentral lists this ribosomal RNA (589 nucleotides) under uncultured Actinomycetes bacterium. RNAcentral describes it as "uncultured actinobacterium partial 16S ribosomal RNA". It matches the Rfam family "Bacterial small subunit ribosomal RNA", at positions 950 to 1528 of the family's 1533-position model. Lineage: Bacteria; Bacillati; Actinomycetota; Actinomycetes. The record is from RNAcentral.
UUCGAAGNAAACGGGNAAGAUCNUUUACCAGGGGCUUGACUUUCAGGGUGAAGGCGNCGGAAACUGUCGUGNCCGAGAAGGANCUUGANCNGGUGGUGCANGGCUUUCGUCAGCUCGUGUCGUGAGAUGUUGGGNGAAGUCCCGCAUCGAGNCGCAACCCUCGUGGCAUGUUGCCAGCGNUUCGGCCGGGCACCCAUGGCGANACCGCCGGCGUUAAGCCGGAGGAAGGGGGGGACGACGUCAAGUCAUCAUGCCCCUUAUGUCCUGGGCUGCUCACGUGCUACAAUGGUCGGCACAAUGGGCUGCCAGCCCGCGAGGGCGAGCGAAUCCCUAAAGCCGGCCCCAGUUCGGAUUNGAGANCUGCAACCCGCCUCCAUGAAGUNGGAGUUGCUAGUAAUCGCGGAUCAGCACGCNGCGGUGAAUNCGUUCCCGGUACCUUGUACACACCGCCNGUCACACCACCCGAGUCGAUUGCACCCGAAGUCGCCGGCCCAACCCGCAAGGGAGGGAGGCNCCGAAGGUGUGGUUGAGUAAGGGGGGUGAAGUCGUAACAAGGUAGCCGUACGAGAACGUGCUGGCUGGAUCACCU